This 659-nucleotide ribosomal RNA is filed under the name uncultured Olsenella sp. RNAcentral's name for it is "bacterial SSU rRNA". It matches the Rfam family "Bacterial small subunit ribosomal RNA", at positions 28 to 698 of the family's 1533-position model. The record is from RNAcentral. Lineage: Bacteria; Bacillati; Actinomycetota; Coriobacteriia; Coriobacteriales; Atopobiaceae.
GAUGAACGCUGGCGGCGCGCCUAACACAUGCAAGUCGAACGGCCGGACCCACCUCGGUGGGCGAGGCAGUGGCGAACGGCUGAGUAACACGUGGGCAACCUGCCCCCCUCCCCGGGACAGCCUCGGGAAACCGUGGGUAAUACCGGAUACACCGCCCCCUCCGCAUGGGAGGGGCGGGAAAGCUCCGGCGGGGGGGGAUGGGCCCGCGGCCUGUUAGCUAGUUGGCGGGGCAACGGCCCACCAAGGCGACUAUGGGUAGCUGGGCUGAGAGACCGACCAGCCAGAUUGGGACUGAGACACGGCCCAGACUCCUACGGGAGGCAGCAGUGGGGAAUCUUGCGCAAUGGGCGGAAGCCUGACGCAGCGACGCCGCGUGCGGGAGGAAGGCCCUCGGGUCGUAAACCGCUUUCAGCAGGGACGAGGCCGCAAGGUGACGGUACCUGCAGAAGAAGCCCCGGCUAACUACGUGCCAGCAGCCGCGGUAAUACGUAGGGGGCGAGCGUUAUCCGGAUUCAUUGGGCGUAAAGCGCUCGUAGGCGGCCUGCUAGGUCGGGAGUCAAAUGCGGGGGCCCAACCCCCGGCCGCUCCCGAUACCGGCGGGCUUGAGUUUGGUAGGGGAAGGCGGAAUUCCCGGUGUAGCGGUGGAAUGCGCAGAUAUC